CGGACGGGUGAGUAAUGUCUGGGAAACUGCCCGAUGGAGGGGGAUAACUACUGGAGACGGUAGCUAAUACCGCAUAACGUCGCAAGACCAAAGAGGGGGACCUUCGGGCCUCUUGCCAUCGGAUGUGCCCAGAUGGGAUUAGCUAGUAGGUGGGGUAACGGCUCACCUAGGCGACGAUCCCUAGCUGGUCUGAGAGGAUGAUCAGCCACACUGGGACUGAGACACGGCCCAG
Molecule: ribosomal RNA, 232 nt
Filed under: uncultured bacterium
Lineage: Bacteria
Description: partial 16S ribosomal RNA
Rfam family: Bacterial small subunit ribosomal RNA
Source: RNAcentral